AUGAUACUACGAAUCUUCGCUUAUAUAUAUAUAUAUAUAUAUACACCCUGCACGCAUCUACAUAAAAGAUAUUGAAAUUAGUAGACUAAAUGGCAAAAUUAAGCAUGGCAAACCUUUUUUCACUUUUCCUUUUGGUUUCAGUGAUGAGAAGCGAAGUGGGUGUGGGUGAAAAAGUCUUUGAAUGUGGGCGUAAGUUUUGGGACACGGAUAACUGCGGAGGUGAAAUUUGCCGGGACCUUUGUGUGAAGAACCAUGGGAUUUCUGAACCAUGGGCAGUUGUAUGGGCAGAGUGCCAGGGAUCUCGCAGUUGUUUUUGCCAAUAUUAUUGCUUUCUAACCGGGGAGAAAAUAUAGUAAUAAUGAUGGUAGUAAUUAGACGGAAAUUCAGUUGUUUUUAUAUGAAGUUAAUAGGAAAGAAUUGUUAAAUAAUUUGACAGAUUUAACUAGAUUUUUAUUUAUCAAUUUUCGACUAUUUACUUUACAUAAAACAACUGCAUGUGAAUUUCUACCUAAUAAUAAUAAUAAGAAGAAAAAAAAUUCUAAACGAUUCCUGAUAAUUACUUCAAAA
This is a non-coding RNA of Arachis ipaensis, 567 nucleotides long. Lineage: Eukaryota; Viridiplantae; Streptophyta; Magnoliopsida; Fabales; Fabaceae. The record is from RefSeq and is a predicted model, not a curated record.